CUCCCAGGCAGAGUCACCAGAAAGAGGAACAGAUGAGGGCGGUGGAACCCGGAACAGCUUGCCCUCCCCCUCCCCUGAAGGCACAAGAGGAUGGCAGACUUCUGGAUCAAGGAACUGGGCACUGGAGGGUGAGGGAUGCGACGUGCAGACGGAGGAGGGAAAGUCCCCAGACUUUCCGCCUGGACCCCAGGGAGACCCCGAAGGACGGACUGUGAUGGGAAGAAGGAGGAUUUGAAAAUCCGAGCAUCUGAAUUCGGAGGUUCUGGCCGAGGAUAGAAGCCUCUGUUUCCGCAUCCGAGAAAUGGCAAUGUCUACACAGCCAUCCUAGGGUUGCACAGCGGCCACCACUGGCACCGACUGAUGUCAGCCCCUUUUCCCUCGAGGACGGCGGUGAGGCCAGAGUCCCCAGAUUUAGUAUUAUAAGUGGAUCAAAAAGAAGCCACAGGGCCUCUGGCUGGCCCAGUCAGUAGAGCAUGCGACUCUUGAUUUCGGGGUUGUGAGUUUGAGCCCCACGAUGGGUGGAGAGAUUACUUUAAAAAAAAAAAAAGAUGCCAGAGUAACUCCUUCACUUCUCAAAUCCAUACCCCUUGCAGUGUGACUUUGCAACUCCUCCCAUCAAAGUUUAUCAGGAUGCUUGUGGCUGCGAGUAACAGACACCCCAGUUAAACAGUGGCUUAACCAACAGAGAGUUAAAGAAAGGCUCAGGUAACUGGAUACCCAGCGGGAGAAUGAGCCUGUGACUAGUGGUGUCAUCAUGGACCCUGAUUCUUUCCAUCCCUCAGAUCUGCUAUCUGCAGCAACAGCUUCAUCCCAAGGCUGCUUCCUUGAGGGGUCAAGGGAUGUAAAGUAUCCAUAAUUUUUCCUUUAGACCAGGGGUUCUCUACCUUGGCAUCAUGGACAUUUUGGGCUGAAUAAUUGUUGCAGAGGGCUGUCCUUUGCACUGUAGGUUGUUCAACACUUCCAUGGCUUCUCUCUACUACAUGCCAGAGCUCUUCUCCAUUGGGACAACCAAAAAUUUCUCUAGACAUUGCAAAAAGUCUCAGGGUGGGGAGGCAGGCAAAGUUGCCCGCAGCUGAGAACCAGGUGUGUUUACUGGUGAUCUAAGGCUCACAUGUCCACACCUGAACCAAUUAUUGGGGCAGAGGGAGUAGAUACUCUGAUUUAGUUAAUUAAGAUUUGUACUUGAAGCUGGAGAUGGAGUAGGCAGCCCCCAGAGUCUGUGGCCAUGGGGGAGGGGUGGGAUCCUCACACAAAACUCUGGCUCUUAACUGGAAGGUAGUAAAUGAUGCUUGGGAGAUAGCUAGUCAUGUCUAUGAAUCUGGCUUUUGAUUAUGUUUUCUUGGAUCCAUUUCUCCUUCUACAUUCUAUUCCUAUGUAUCUACGGGUUAUUCUUUAAAGAUAUGCACUGAUUUAAAUUUGUGGAUUUCUAAUUAUGUGUAUUCUUUUUAAGCUUAUUUAUUUUGAGAGAGAGAGCAGGGGUGAGG
Long non-coding RNA from Lynx canadensis (Canada lynx), 1484 nucleotides. RefSeq lists it as uncharacterized. The record is from RefSeq and is a predicted model, not a curated record. The transcript has 4 exons. Lineage: Eukaryota; Metazoa; Chordata; Mammalia; Carnivora; Felidae.